This 285-nucleotide transfer-messenger RNA is filed under the name Polynucleobacter sp. 39-46-10. RNAcentral's name for it is "partial transfer-messenger RNA". It matches the Rfam family "transfer-messenger RNA", at positions 78 to 374 of the family's 374-position model. Rfam says of the family: Bacterial tmRNA, also known as 10Sa RNA or SsrA, is named for its dual tRNA and mRNA-like properties. Its role is to liberate the mRNA from a stalled ribosome. To accomplish this part of the tmRNA is used as a reading frame that ends in a translation stop signal. The record is from RNAcentral. Lineage: Bacteria; Pseudomonadati; Pseudomonadota; Betaproteobacteria; Burkholderiales; Burkholderiaceae.
GGGAAUGUAAUAACUGCAAACGACGAACGUUUCGCACUAGCCGCUUAAUUGCGGUUGCCCCUGAACUGAUUCUCUCUUGGGUCAGCUAGCGCAAGCUAGGUCAGGGUCAUUUACAAGAGAUAAGAUCAUUUCAUGUCACGGGAAAUGGUUCGAAAACUUAGUGAAUCGCCAGCGUGGAACAUGUCAGUCUGUGACUAGCUAGCUAAAUUAAAUGAUAUGACUAAGUAUGUAGAACUUGUUGUAGAGGAUUUGCGGACGCGGGUUCGAUUCCCGCCGACUCCACCA